GCCCGUUUAGCUCAGUGGUAGAGCGCGCCACUCGUAUAUCCGCGAUGGUGAGGUCGGUUGUUCAAUCCAGCCAAUGGGCA
Non-coding RNA from Crucibulum laeve, 80 nucleotides. The record is from the annotation of a GenBank genome assembly. Lineage: Eukaryota; Fungi; Basidiomycota; Agaricomycetes; Agaricales; Nidulariaceae.